GAUGAACGCUGGCGGCGUGCCUAACACAUGCAAGUCGAGCGAGGGUUUGCUCAGUAUUGAGUAUUCUAAAACUAGAAUGUUCAAUUCUGAGCAAAACCAAGCGGCGGACGGGUGAGUAACGCGUGGGUAACCUGCCCUAUACACAUGGAUAACAUACUGAAAAGUUUACUAAUACAUGAUAAUAUAUAUUUGCGGCAUCGCAGAUAUAUCAAAGUGUUAGCGGUAUAGGAUGGACCCGCGUCUGAUUAGCUAGUUGGUGAGAUAACUGCCCACCAAGGCGACGAUCAGUAGCCGACCUGAGAGGGUGAUCGGCCACAUUGGAACUGAGACACGGUCCAAACUCCUACGGGAGGCAGCAGUGGGGAAUAUUGCACAAUGGGCGAAAGCCUGAUGCAGCAACGCCGCGUGAAACGAUGAAGGUCUUUCGGAUUCGUAAAG
RNAcentral lists this ribosomal RNA (438 nucleotides) under Peptostreptococcus stomatis. RNAcentral describes it as "bacterial SSU rRNA". It matches the Rfam family "Bacterial small subunit ribosomal RNA", at positions 28 to 430 of the family's 1533-position model. The record is from RNAcentral. Lineage: Bacteria; Bacillati; Bacillota; Clostridia; Peptostreptococcales; Peptostreptococcaceae.